UAUUAUACCUCCCAUAAAGGAUCCUAACUACAUUUUAACACAAAUGUAUGGAAAUUGAAAAAGAUUUUUUAAAAUUAAAUAUUUUGUGAAAUAGUGGAUUUCCUUAGUACUUGGAAAGUCCAUUGCAAGUAAUUGUCUGUAAGCAACCUUUGCUAGAAAUAAUGUUUACUUUGUCUUGUGUUUGAGCAAUGAAUAUUGCCAUUUUCCACCAAUCACUAUCCAUUAAAAGUAUACCAAUAAAUAAUAUAAUAGCUCUUUCUCAUUUCAGAUAUAUCCCAUUUAUGUGGUGUAAAUGAUAACAUGUACAGAAACACUUCAUUCACAAAUGCAGGAUACACACUCAGACAAACACACACAAUACCAUCAAAUGCAGGAUACCUAAGUUGAACCAAUAAAUUCAAUAUAAACUUUCAACUAAUACCAUCCAAAAGCUUCAUAGAAUUGAAGACACCCUACCAUCAAACUAUUAUCCAGAAUAUGAAAUUGAUGGAGUGCACAAAGGCUUUUCAUCUUUACCAUGAUACUUGUACAAAGUCCCAAAACAUCAAAUGGUGCAGCUACUACAGCAGCAGUAGGGAAUCUAUUCACACUAACAACAUCCAAUAACAAGUGCCGUCAAUAUUACGGUAAAAAGAUCCCGCCAAUGCCGAUUAUCCAAAAAAACAUCCAGGCAAACGGCGAAAAGGUAAAAUAGAUAAAUGAAGAAGCAUCUCAAAAUGUAAAAUGGGAAUUUAGAGAUGAACAAAAUUCCAAUACGAAAAUGUAUCAAGUACCGUUAAAACAUCAGCAUUCCGAAAUGCUCAACAUGUCAAAGACUUAAUUAACAAAAACCUAAGUAUAACCGGAAAUGAAGCUUCAGUUACUUAGAUCGCUGCCUCAUCUUUCGGCGCUUCCUCUUCAAUCUCCUCAUUCGCUUCUUCUUCCACUGAAUAUACAAGAGUAAUGAGUUAAAUUAAUUCACGAUUAAGUAACCAAUUCAAGAUAUAAAGAAGGGUUUAUCUAGAUUGCGAAAACUAGAUAGUUACCUUAGCUCUCAUUGCAACAAACUUAAAUCUUUCACUUCGUCUUUCAACCCUUUCUGUGCAAACACGACGGCGGGAAAUGAAGGUAUCAGAGACAGAUCUCGCUAUUGUUUAUAAA
RNAcentral lists this long non-coding RNA (1140 nucleotides) under Panax ginseng (ginseng). RNAcentral describes it as "long non-coding RNA (PGIN_LNC006336)". Lineage: Eukaryota; Viridiplantae; Streptophyta; Magnoliopsida; Apiales; Araliaceae. The record is from RNAcentral.